CGGCACGGGUGAGUAACCCGUAUCCAACCUGCCGUCUACUCUUGGACAGCCUUCUGAAAGGAAGAUUAAUACAAGAUGGCAUCAUGAGUCCGCAUGUUCACAUGAUUAAAGGUAUUCCGGUAGACGAUGGGGAUGCGUUCCAUUAGAUAGUAGGCGGGGUAACGGCCCACCUAGUCUUCGAUGGAUAGGGGUUCUGAGAGGAAGGUCCCCCACAUUGGAACUGAGACACGGUCCAA
This 236-nucleotide ribosomal RNA is filed under the name uncultured bacterium. RNAcentral's name for it is "partial 16S ribosomal RNA". It matches the Rfam family "Bacterial small subunit ribosomal RNA", at positions 100 to 334 of the family's 1533-position model. The record is from RNAcentral.